UCCUACGGGAGGCAGCAGUUGGGCGAAAGCCUGAUCCAGCCAUGCCGCGUGUGUGAAGAAGGUCUUCGGAUUGUGAAGCACUUUAAGUUGGGAGGAAGGGCAGUAAAUUAAUACUUUGCUGUUUUGACGUUACCGACAGAAUAAGCACCGGCUAACUCUGUGCCAGCAGCCGCGGUAAU
RNAcentral lists this ribosomal RNA (179 nucleotides) under uncultured bacterium. RNAcentral describes it as "partial 16S ribosomal RNA". It matches the Rfam family "Bacterial small subunit ribosomal RNA", at positions 337 to 524 of the family's 1533-position model. The record is from RNAcentral.